AAGUGAAGGAGAAGGCAAGAGUGGGCUCCGUCACGUCAAGGCCCCGGGUUUUCCGGCCAAAAGGACAGUCCCACCCGCGGCCGGAUCGCCGCCACGUGCUCCGCCUCCUGGUCGUCGCUGGGUCGGACGACCGAUGGGGACUUUUGCCUUUUUGAAAAUUUCAAUUCCCCUGUUCAUGCCAUCGUUUUCUACCUCCUGGUAGCAAUGAUGAGACAAGUGAGAGAGAGAGACUUUUCUCUCUCUUUCUUCCGCAAUGGAAGUUAAAUGAACAGGGACCGGAGAAGGUGGACCGCAAUAAAUGGCGGAAUCGAGAUCGAGGUCGCGGCCGUAGCCGUCUCCAUGGCGGCGUUGCAGCAGAGUCUGCAGGUUUCGGAAUUCAAAACGAGCAGGAGAAGAUAGAUAGAGAGAGAGAGAGAGAGAGAGAGAGAGGGGCGAGUGGUCCAUACUCCCUCUGCUGCUUAAUUCUUCUGCUGCAUGCUUGCAGAGUUGCAGUAGCAGCGGCGGUGGCAGGAAGAAAAAAGGCGGAGAACAUUACGGCGGUGGCAGUGGAGAUCAUUCUUCGUUGCUUUUUGAUCUAUUGGGGUCAUCGGAGGAGAUUAGCUAGGGAGAGGGUUGGAUGGAUUAGGAGGUAUAAUUGAGGCGGAGUAGUGGGAUAUGGCAGGAUUCUUCCUCGGAGGCGGCGGGCAACCACCGCGGGGGGGCGCAGGAGCUGGCGGCGGCGCGUCUGAGGGUGGAUUCUUUCUUUACACCGGCGGAGGCCGCGGCGGCGGCGAGUACGGCGCUGCGCGCGGAUUCGAGCUGUGGCAGAAGGAGCAGCAUCGCCAGCAGUUUUACUCCGGUGCGGUAGGGUUCUCUGACGACGGGGCGGCGCAGCAGCCGCGGGUGACGCGUGGUGGCCUGGUGGGCGGCGGGAUGAGCUGCCAGGACUGCGGUAACCAGGCGAAGAAGGACUGCGUCCACCUCCGGUGCCGCACCUGCUGCAAGAGCCGCGGCUUCCCCUGCCCCACCCACGUCAAGAGCACCUGGGUCUCCGCCGCGAAGCGUCGGGAGCGCCAGCAGCAGCUAGUCGCAGCCGCCGCACAGGCCGAUGCCCGGCAGCAGCGCGGCGCCUCCGCUAGCAGCGAGGGCGGCGCGGAGACUUUCAAGCGGCCCCGCGAGGUCUCCGCCGCCGCCGCCGCCGCCGCCCUGGCAACCACCACGUUCGGUUGGCGAGCCGGAGAGCUUCCCGGCGGAGGUGAGCGCGCCGGCGGUGUUCCGCUGCGUGCGGGUCAGCCACGUGGACGAACCCGACGACGCGUACGCCUACCAUGCGGCGGUCAGCAUCGGCGGUCACGUCUUCAAGGGCCUGCUCUACGACCACGGCCCCGCCGCCGAAGCUGACCCACCAGAGUACCUUACCGGCGCCUCCAUCUCCGGCGCCGGCGAUCAAACCAUCAACACCCCUCCCAUCACAACUACCGGCGACCGCCUUCUCGACCCCUACCCGACCCCGCUGAGCGCAUUCAUGGCCGCCACCCAAUGCUUCUCCAAUCAACACGCUCCUUGAGCACGGAAGUGUGUCUUUUUGUUCCCGAGAUUGAAGGCACAAUUUACGGGAUUCCCGGGAUCUACCUGAUUCUUGCUUCUCCAUGUUUAUGAAAUCAACUCAAAACAAUUAUUACUCAAUAAUAUUUUGAUUAUUCAGAAACAAAUAUUUGAAUCACUGCUCAUUAUCGAUCAUGUUCUUCAUUUCGUAUGUAGCUAUAAUCUGAGAGACAGAAGAGAAGCAGGUAUGUAUAAAUAUAUACAUUUAUUAAUAUUUUUAUAUGUGUUUAGU
This is an RNA transcript of Zingiber officinale, 1816 nucleotides long. It is a transcript of the gene named protein SHORT INTERNODES-like, with no coding region annotated. Lineage: Eukaryota; Viridiplantae; Streptophyta; Magnoliopsida; Zingiberales; Zingiberaceae. The record is from RefSeq and is a predicted model, not a curated record. The transcript is spliced from 3 exons.